Molecule: ribosomal RNA, 253 nt
Filed under: uncultured bacterium
Lineage: Bacteria
Description: partial 16S ribosomal RNA
Rfam family: Bacterial small subunit ribosomal RNA
Source: RNAcentral
CACGUAGGGCGCAAGCGUUGUCCGGAAUUAUUGGGCGUAAAGAGCUCGUAGGCGGUCUGUUGCGUCCGCUGUGAAAACUCGGGGAUUAACCCCGAGCCUGCAGUGGAUACGGGCAGACUAGAGGUAGGUAGGGGAGAAUGGAAUUCCCGGUGUAGCGGUGAAAUGCGCAGAUAUCGGGAGGAACACCGGUGGCGAAGGCGGUAUCCUGGACCGGUAUUGACGCUGAGGCGCGAAAGCUAGGGGAGCAAACGGG